GAUGAACGCUGGCGGCGUGCCUAACACAUGCAAGUCGAACGGGUGUACGGGGAGGAAGGCUUCGGCCGGAAAACCUGUGCAUGAGUGGCGGACGGGUGAGUAACGCGUGGGCAACCUGGCCUGUACAGGGGGAUAACACUUAGAAAUAGGUGCUAAUACCGCAUAACGGGGGAAGCCGCAUGGCUUUUCCCUGAAAACUCCGGUGGUACAGGAUGGGCCCGCGUCUGAUUAGCCAGUUGGCAGGGUAACGGCCUACCAAAGCGACGAUCAGUAGCCGGCCUGAGAGGGCGGACGGCCACACUGGGACUGAGACACGGCCCAG
This 322-nucleotide ribosomal RNA is filed under the name uncultured bacterium. RNAcentral describes it as "bacterial SSU rRNA". It matches the Rfam family "Bacterial small subunit ribosomal RNA", at positions 28 to 334 of the family's 1533-position model. The record is from RNAcentral.